Long non-coding RNA from Choloepus didactylus (southern two-toed sloth), 843 nucleotides. RefSeq lists it as uncharacterized. The transcript is spliced from 4 exons. Lineage: Eukaryota; Metazoa; Chordata; Mammalia; Pilosa; Megalonychidae. The record is from RefSeq and is a predicted model, not a curated record.
GGGGGCCGCGGGGGAGCCCCGGGAGGAGAUGGGACACCCCACGCCAGCGACCUGGGGACAUCGAAAGCCACUUGGUUCUUCCCUCUCAGCUCAUCCCUGAUUUAGUUUGGGCUGGGGGUGGGAAUCAUGGUGAAGCCCCUUUGCUCCGGCAUGGACAGGCGACCCAUGAACCUUGAGGAUCUGGUGCUGGAGCCCCAGCAGCCACGUUACACCCGAGAGAAGGGUUUACGGGACAGAGAAGGAUCUGACAUGUAUCCCUGUUUAAGAGGUUCACAGCCAAGUGAAGGAGACAGACAAAUAAACCAACAAUGACAUUACAGAUGAACCUGGUUGACACUUGGAAGACAGGUACAAAUUCAUUUCUUUCAACAGUUCAAAAAGCUUUCCUCCACAGCACAGCCCACCUGAGCUCUGUGAGCUUGGGGCACCACCGCGGGCCACAGUAGAGCACAUCUGCUUCAUCAAGCAAAGCAUGGAGCUCUCUGUGGUUCAGGCUGGUGGAGUGUGUCCAGUUCGUGGUAUCCAUUUUUAUGUCCAUUAUUAUUUAUUAUGAUUUAGCCCAAAGCAAUUCCUGGUGAGUGAUGCAACAGAUCUGUGUGUCCUCACAAAACACUGCCACCUUGGAACAAGGUUUGUAACCAGCCCAGCAUGAACCCCAUUCAUCCCAGAAGCACCUUCUAGUCAUGUUUUAAAAUGUUGACCUAUCUACUUUUCCCAGACUUUUCUCAAUGCAAAAAUAAAUAAUCUCCUACCUAUACACUGUGGUGGUUUGAAGUCGUAUGUAUGCAGAAAAACAUGUUCUUAAAUCUAAUCCAUUCCUGAGGGUGUGAACCCACAGUAAGU